GCGCUCCCUCGGCCCCAGCGCCCGGACCCGGGGGGCGGCCCGCGCGCCCCGCGCCCACGGGGGCCCCGCCUCCGGGCGGGCCGGCUGCUGGGGGGGCGCACCCCGACUUCCCCGGGGUCACAUGGGCUGCGGGGGGCGGGAGCGCCGGGAAAGGGGGAGGCGCGGGGAGCUCGCUGCCUGCCUGCCUGCUCGCUCGAGCCGGGGACGAGACGCCCCCCACCCCUCCAGCUCGGCCUCUCCAUCCAAGUUCCCGGUCCCCGGCCGCCCGGAUCCGGGGAUGGCAACCGCCGCCCGCCCGCCUCUGCGCCCUUUUUUCCAGCCGCCGCGCAGAAAUUUAGGUCAAGGACGUCGGGAUCAAACCCAAACCCUGGCGCUCCUUGGGCGCUCCCGGAGACCCCCAGAACGGGGGGCGGGGGGCUUUCAGGAUGGUGCGGACACCCUCCGCACAAACCCCAGCCACAAGUUUUAUUUUCCUUUCGCGCUGGAAGUUCUGUCUGGCUCUCGAUCCACACCGGCACGUCUUGCGCGGCUCCCCGCCCUUCCCCGGCAGAGGUACGAAUCCGUGCCCGGGGAAGGUUAUUUUGGAACUUUGAGGAAACGGACGCGAUUCCAGUGGAACUUUUGUAUCCACGUCCAUAAGUCAAUCAGGCUGCAGUUUUGCCUUCUCAUGUUGCCUUUCUCUGGUUAUACUGGCCUCAAAAAAUGAACUGAGACUAAAACAGCAACGGUGACUGACAACUCCUUGUGCGUUCCUCCCCCGUUUGCUCACCUAAAGAAACUGCCAGUCUCAAUCUUGUCGCUGAGCUGAUUAAGAAGAAAGCUGACUCCUACCUUCCAAUCUUGUGUCCAUUUCAUCUGCUUCCAAACAUAAAGCCGCCCGCUGCUUUUGCAAGAUCUUGGCUGGUUUAAAAAGGCAGAUUCGGGAUUUGUGUGCAGGAUUUCAGGAAUGUGGGGUCUUCUGGUUUGU
Molecule: long non-coding RNA, 967 nt
Organism: Bos taurus (domestic cattle)
Lineage: Eukaryota; Metazoa; Chordata; Mammalia; Artiodactyla; Bovidae
Source: Ensembl